RNAcentral lists this ribosomal RNA (253 nucleotides) under uncultured bacterium. RNAcentral describes it as "partial 16S ribosomal RNA". It matches the Rfam family "Bacterial small subunit ribosomal RNA", at positions 524 to 776 of the family's 1533-position model. The record is from RNAcentral.
GACGGGGGAUGCAAGCGUUCUCCGGAAUCACUGGGCGUAAAGCGUCUGUAGGUGGUGAUGCAAGUCACUGGUGCAAAACUCUGGCUCAACCGGAGGAAAGCCAGUGAAACUGCAUGACUAGAGUGUGGGAGAGGUAGAAGGAAUUCCCUGAGUAGCGGUGAAAUGCGUAGAUACAGGGAAGAACACCGAAGGCGAAAGCGUUCUACUGGAACACAACUGACGCUGAGAGACGAAAGCUAGGGGAGCGAAUGGG